ACCCAUUUGAUAAGUCUAGCAUAAAACAUACAUAGGCUUAGCAUCGAAACUUCUACAAUUUCAAGUUCUAUUUUAACCUCCAUUUCACAAAAAGAGUUCCAUUUUAACAUUCUGAAGUUAAACCGUCUCAUUCUCAAAUUCAAAAGCAACCAUGAAUAUUUCAACUAUUAAAAGCGUACAACUAAUUACAAAAUUUGUUGUUAUCAAAACUUAAAUAAAUUUUUAACAACUUUAAAUUUU
This 240-nucleotide long non-coding RNA is filed under the name Panax ginseng (ginseng). RNAcentral's name for it is "long non-coding RNA (PGIN_LNC001293)". The record is from RNAcentral. Lineage: Eukaryota; Viridiplantae; Streptophyta; Magnoliopsida; Apiales; Araliaceae.